UACGUAGGGGGCUAGCGUUGUCCGGAAUCAUUGGGCGUAAAGAGCGUGUAGGCGGCCCGGUAAGUCCGCUGUGAAAGUCGGGGGCUCAACCCUCGAAUGCCGGUGGAUACUGUCGGGCUAGAGUGCGGAAGAGGCGAGUGGAAUUCCUGGUGUAGCGGUGAAAUGCGCAGAUAUCAGGAGGAACACCGAUGGCGAAGGCGGCUUCCUGGACCGACACUGACGCUGAGGCGCGAAAGCUAGGGGAGCAAACGGG
Molecule: ribosomal RNA, 253 nt
Filed under: uncultured bacterium
Lineage: Bacteria
Description: partial 16S ribosomal RNA
Rfam family: Bacterial small subunit ribosomal RNA
Source: RNAcentral